Molecule: long non-coding RNA, 1080 nt
Filed under: Canis lupus familiaris (dog)
Lineage: Eukaryota; Metazoa; Chordata; Mammalia; Carnivora; Canidae
Description: lncRNA (ENSCAFG00000047864.2)
Source: RNAcentral
AUGGGGUGCCUUGGUGACACUGGGAUAGAGGAGCAGCAGAAGAGCAGGGGGAGCAGCAGGAGGAGCAGCAGCGGGAGCAGAGGAGGAGCAGCGGAGGAGCAACAGGAGGAGCAGAGGAGGAGCAGCGGAGGAGCAGCAGAGGAGCAACAGGAGGAGCAGGAGGAGGAGCAGCAGGAGGAGCAGCAGGAGAAGCAGAAGAGGAGCAACAGGAGGAGCAGAGGAGGAGCAGCAGGAGGAGCAGCAGGAGGAACAGCAGAGGAGCAACAGGAGCAGCAGGAGGAGUGGAGGAGCAGCAGGAGGAGCAGCGGAGGAGCAGCAGCGGGAGCAGAGGAGCAGCGGAGGAGCAACAGGAGGAGCAGAGGAGGAGCAGAGGAGGAGCAGCGGAGGAGCAGCAGGAGGAGCAGAGGAGGAGCAACAGGAGGAGCAGAGGAGGAGCAGCGGAGGAGCAGCAGGAGGAGCAACAGGAGGAGCAGCAGAGGAGCAGCAAGAGGAGCAGCAGAAGAGCAGCAGGAGGAGCAGCGGAGGAGCAGCAGUGGGAGCAACGGAGGAGCAGCAGGAGGAGCAGUGGAGGAGCAGCAGGAGGAGCAGGAGGAGGAGUGGAGGAGCAGGAGGAGAGCAGAGGAGCAACAGGAGGAGCAGAGGAGGAGCAGCGGAGGAGCAGCAGGAAGAGCAGCAGAGGAACAACAGGAGGAGCAGCGGAGGAGCAGCAGGAGGAGCAGCAGGAGAAGCAGCAGGAGGAGUAGCAGAGGAGCAACAGGAGGAGCAGAAGAGGAGCAGCGGAGGAGCAGCAGAGGAGCAACAGAAGGAGCAGAGGAGAAGCAGCGGAGGAGCAGCAGAGGAGCAGCAAGAGGAGCAGCAGAAGAGCAGCAGGAGGAGCAGCGGAGGAGCAGCAGUGGGAGCAGUGGAGGAGCAGCAGGAGGAGCACCAGGAGGAGCAGUGGAGGAGCAGCAGGAGGAGCAGGAGGAGGAGUGGAGGAGCAGGAGGAGAGCAGAGGAGCAACAGGAGGAGCAGAGGAGGAGCAGCGGAGGAGCAGCAGGAGGAGCAGCGGAGGAGCAGCAGGAGGAGCAGCAGGAGGAGUAG